GACGAACGCUGGCGGCGUGCUUAACACAUGCAAGUCGAACGGAAAGGCCCCUUUGGGGGUACUCGAGUGGCGAACGGGGGAGUAACACGUGAGUAACCAGCCCUUGACUUCGGGAUAACUUCAGGAAACGGGGGCUAAUACCGGAAAGGAAUCCUUGCUGCAUGGGGGGGGUUGGAAAGCUUCGGCGGGUUUGGAUGGACUCGCGGCAUAGCAGCUUGCUGGUGGGGUAGUGGCUUACCAAGGCUUUGGCGGGUAGCCGGCCUGAGGGGGCGACCGGCCACCCUGGGUCUUAGGUACGGCCCCGGCUCCUACGGGAGGCCGCAGUGGGGAAUCUUGCCCGAUGGGCGGCAGCCUGAUGCAGCAACGCCGCGUGCGGGAUGACGGCCUUCGGGUUGUAGACCGCUUUCAGCAGGGGCGAAGCUUGUGGUGACGGUACCUGCAGAAGAAGCACCGGCUAACUACGUG
Molecule: ribosomal RNA, 465 nt
Filed under: uncultured bacterium
Lineage: Bacteria
Description: partial 16S ribosomal RNA
Rfam family: Bacterial small subunit ribosomal RNA
Source: RNAcentral